CGUAGGGUGCAGGCGUUAAUCGGAAUUACUGGGCGUAAAGCGUGCGCAGGCGGUUUGCUAAGACAGGUGUGAAAUCCCCGGGCUUAACCUGGGAACUGCGCUUGUAACUGGCAAGCUUGAGUGCGGCAGAGGGGGGUGGAAUUCCACGUGUAGCAGUGAAAUGCGUAGAGAUGUGGAGGAACACCGAUGGCGAAGGCAGCCCCCUGGGUCGACACUGACGCUCAUGCACGAAAGCGUGGGGAGCAAACAGGAUUAGAUACCCUGGUAGUCCACGCCCUAAACUAUGUCAACUGGUUGUCGGGGAAGCAAUUCCUUGGUAACGAAGCUAACGCGUGAAGUUGACCGCCUGGGGAGUACGGCCGCAAGGUUA
This 370-nucleotide ribosomal RNA is filed under the name uncultured organism. Its description in RNAcentral is "bacterial SSU rRNA". It matches the Rfam family "Bacterial small subunit ribosomal RNA", at positions 526 to 896 of the family's 1533-position model. The record is from RNAcentral.